This 255-nucleotide ribosomal RNA is filed under the name uncultured bacterium. RNAcentral describes it as "partial 16S ribosomal RNA". It matches the Rfam family "Bacterial small subunit ribosomal RNA", at positions 524 to 776 of the family's 1533-position model. The record is from RNAcentral.
UACGUAGGGGGGCAAGCGUUGUCCGGAUUUAUUGGGCGUAAAGAGCUCGUAGGUGGUUCGGUAAGUCGGAUGUGAAAUCUCCAGGCUCAACCUGGAGGGGUCAUUCGAUACUGCCGUGACUAGAGGUCGGUAGGGGAGUGUGGAAUUCCUGGUGGAGCGGUGAAAUGCGCAGAUAUCAGGAGGAACACCCGUAGCGAAGGCGGCACUCUGGGCCGAUACUGACACUGAGGAGCGAAAGCGUGGGGAGCGAACAGG